GAUGAACGCUAGCGGCAGGCUUAAUACAUGCAAGUCGAACGGCAGCACAGUGUAGCAAUACAUGGGUGGCGAGUGGCGCACGGGUGCGUAACACGUAUGCAAUUUACCCAUAACUGGGGGAUAGCCUUCCGAAAGGAAGAUUAAUACCCCAUAACCCAGCGAAGUGGCAUCACUUUUCUGGUAAAUCUCCGGAGGUUAUGGAUGAGCAUGCGCCCGAUUAGCUAGUUGGCGAGGUAACGGCUCACCAAGGCAACGAUCGGUAGGGGGUCUGAGAGGAUGAUCCCCCACACGGGUACUGAGACACGGACCCGACUCCUACGGGAGGCAGCAGUAAGGAAUAUUGGACAAUGGAGGCAACUCUGAUCCAGCCAUGCCGCGUGAAGGAUGGAGGCGCUACGCGUUGUUAAACUUCUUUUCUCUUAAGAAAAACUCUUUGGUUUCGUACCGAGACUGAUUGUACAAGAGGAAUAAGCAUCGGCUAACUUCGUGCCAGC
This 494-nucleotide ribosomal RNA is filed under the name uncultured bacterium. RNAcentral's name for it is "bacterial SSU rRNA". It matches the Rfam family "Bacterial small subunit ribosomal RNA", at positions 28 to 512 of the family's 1533-position model. The record is from RNAcentral.